RNAcentral lists this ribosomal RNA (108 nucleotides) under uncultured bacterium. RNAcentral's name for it is "partial 16S ribosomal RNA". It matches the Rfam family "Bacterial small subunit ribosomal RNA", at positions 247 to 354 of the family's 1533-position model. The record is from RNAcentral.
GUGUGGCGGGGUAACGGCCCACCAGGCGACGAUGCGUAGGGGUUCUGAGAGGAAGGUCCCCCCACACUGGUACUGAGACACGGACCAGACUCCUACGGAAGGCAGCAG